This 253-nucleotide ribosomal RNA is filed under the name uncultured bacterium. RNAcentral's name for it is "partial 16S ribosomal RNA". It matches the Rfam family "Bacterial small subunit ribosomal RNA", at positions 524 to 776 of the family's 1533-position model. The record is from RNAcentral.
UACAGAGGUCUCAAGCGUUGUUCGGAUUCAUUGGGCGUAAAGGGUGCGUAGGCGGCGCGGUAAGUCGGGUGUGAAAUCUUGGAGCUUAACUCCGAAACUGCAUUCGAUACUGCCGUGCUUGAGGACUGGAGAGGAGACUGGAAUUUACGGUGUAGCGGUGAAAUGCGUAGAGAUGUGGAGGAACACCAGUGGCGAAGGCGACUCUUUGGCCUGUAACUGACGCUGAGGCGCGAAAGCGUGGGGAGCAAACAGG